RNAcentral lists this ribosomal RNA (835 nucleotides) under uncultured bacterium. RNAcentral describes it as "bacterial SSU rRNA". It matches the Rfam family "Bacterial small subunit ribosomal RNA", at positions 651 to 1501 of the family's 1533-position model. The record is from RNAcentral.
GGAGAGGAAAGUGGAAUUCCCAGUGUAGCGGUGAAAUGCGUAGAUAUUAGGAGGAACACCAGUGGCGAAGGCGACUUUCUGGACUGUUACUGACACUGAGGCACGAAAGCGUGGGGAGCAAACAGGAUUAGAUACCCUGGUAGUCCACGCCGUAAACGAUGAGCACUAGGUGUCGGGGUCGCAAGACUUCGGUGCCGCAGUUAACGCAUUAAGUGCUCCGCCUGGGGAGUACGCACGCAAGUGUAAAACUCAAAGGAAUUGACGGGGACCCGCACAAGCAGCGGAGCAUGUGGUUUAAUUCGAAGCAACGCGAAGAACCUUACCAGGACUUGACAUCCUCUUGACAGAUCCUUAAUCGGAUUCUUCUUCGGACAAGAGAGACAGGUGGUGCAUGGUUGUCGUCAGCUCGUGUCGUGAGAUGUUGGGUUAAGUCCCGCAACGAGCGCAACCCUUGCCAUUAGUUGCCAUCAUUUAGUUGGGCACUCUAGUGGGACUGCCGGGGAAAACUCGGAGGAAGGUGGGGAUGACGUCAAAUCAUCAUGCCCCUUAUGUUCUGGGCUACACACGUGCUACAAUGGCCGGUACAACAGGCAGCGAACCCGUGAGGGGGAGCGAAUCCCAAAAGCCGGUCCCAGUUCGGACUGUAGGCUGCAACUCGCCUACACGAAGUUGGAGUUGCUAGUAAUCGCGGAUCAGAAUGCCGCGGUGAAUGCGUUCCCGGGUCUUGUACACACCGCCCGUCACACCAUGGAAGUUGGGGGUGCCCGAAGUCGGUUAUUUAAUCUAUCGCCUAAGGCAAAACCAAUGACUGGGGUGAAGUCGUAACAAGGUAACC